Molecule: ribosomal RNA, 787 nt
Filed under: Bursaphelenchus paraparvispicularis
Lineage: Eukaryota; Metazoa; Nematoda; Chromadorea; Rhabditida; Aphelenchoididae
Description: eukaryotic LSU rRNA
Rfam family: Eukaryotic large subunit ribosomal RNA
Source: RNAcentral
ACAAGUACCGUGAGGGAAAGUUGAAAAGUACUUUGAAAAGAGAGUGCAAGAGAACGUGAAACCGGUGUAAUGGAAGCAUAUGGAGUUGACGUAUCUGGUGCGUAUUCAGUUGUCGGUCGGCGUGCUGGCGGCGUUCGUCAUUCCGCAAGGUUGGCGGCGUUGUUGUUGGCGCGUUGGUCGGCAAUGCAUUUGCGUACGGAGUGCGCCGAGUCGCGUGGUGACGCGUAUCGAAGACGUUCGAGAGGACACCGCUUCGGCGGUGAAACCUUGUGCGUUGGAGGUUCGUUGUCGGGCCGCGUGAUUUCGUGGAGGCUCGGGCCAACGCUCGUUGGGGCGUCGAUUUGGUCGGUUCGCGUUGUACGCAUGCGUGCGGCGCUUAUGGGCUAGGUCGGCGUUUCGGCGUGCACUGUUCCUCUUCUCGGUGUUCAGUCAAUGACCCAUUUGACCCGUCUUGAAACACGGACCAAGGAGUUUAUGGUAUACGCGAGUCAUUGGGCUUUACGAAACCCAAAGGCGUAAUGAAAGUGAGACCAUUACGGUUUGAAUGUGAUCGGUGUGAUGUUUCGACGUUCGCCGAGCAACAUUGCCCCGUUUCGAGGACUUGUCCUGUUGCGGAGGUUGAGCGUAUGCUAUGAGACCCGAAAGAUGGUGAACUAUGCCUGAACAGGAUGAAGUCAGAGGAAACUCUGAUGGAAGUCCGAAGCGGUUCUGACGUGCAAAUCGAUCGUCUGAUUUUGGUAUAGGGGCGCAAGACUAAUCGAACCAUCUAGUAGCUGGUUCCUUCCGA